This 253-nucleotide ribosomal RNA is filed under the name uncultured bacterium. Its description in RNAcentral is "partial 16S ribosomal RNA". It matches the Rfam family "Bacterial small subunit ribosomal RNA", at positions 524 to 776 of the family's 1533-position model. The record is from RNAcentral.
UACAGGGGGUGCAAACGUUGCUCGGAAUUAUUGGGCGUAAAGCGCGCGUAGGCGGCUACUUAAGUCGGAUGUGAAAGCCCUUGGCUCAACUGAGGAAGUGCACCCGAAACUGAGUGGCUAGAGUACGAAAGAGGGUCGCGGAAUUCCCGGUGUAGGGGUGAAAUUCGUAGAUAUCGGGAGGAACACCGGUGGCGAAGGCGGCGACCUGGGUCGAUACUGACGCUGAUGCGCGAAAGCGUGGGGAGCAAACAGG